RNAcentral lists this ribosomal RNA (599 nucleotides) under uncultured bacterium. RNAcentral's name for it is "bacterial SSU rRNA". It matches the Rfam family "Bacterial small subunit ribosomal RNA", at positions 8 to 642 of the family's 1533-position model. The record is from RNAcentral.
AGAGUUUGAUCCCUGGCCUCAGAAUGAACGCUGGCGGCAGGCCUAACACAUGCAAGUCGAACGGGAUUAAUCUUCGGAUUUUUCUAGUGGCAGACGGGUGAGUAACGCGUGGGAACCUACCUCAAGGUACGGAAUAGCUCGGGGAAACUCGAGGUAAUACCGUAUACUUCCGAGAGGAGAAAGAUUUAUCGCCUUGAGAGGGGCCCGCGUUAGAUUAGCUAAUCGGUGAGGUAAUGGCCCACCAAGGCUGAGAUCUAUAGCUGAUCUGAGAGGAUGAUCAGCCACACUGGGACUGAGACACGGCCCAGACUCCUACGGGAGGCAGCAGUGGGGAAUCUUGGACAAUGGGCGAAAGCCUGAUGCGGCAACGCCGCGUGCGGGAAGAAGGCCCUAGGGUUGUAAACCGCUUUCAGCAGGGAAGAAGAUGACGGUACCUGUAGAAGAAGGUGCGGCCAACUACGUGCCAGCAGCCGCGGUGACACGUAGGCACCAAGCGUUGUCCGGAUUUAUUGGGCGUAAAGAGCUCGUAGGCGGUUCGGUAAGUCGGGUGUGAAAACUCUGGGCUCAACCCAGAGCCGCCACCCGAUACUGCUGUGACU